This 941-nucleotide unclassified non-coding RNA is filed under the name Hevea brasiliensis (rubber tree). The record is from RNAcentral. Lineage: Eukaryota; Viridiplantae; Streptophyta; Magnoliopsida; Malpighiales; Euphorbiaceae.
GUUGGAAUUGACAGAGAUGAACAUGAAUUUCAUUCUCCAAGGAAAACUGGAGAGGAAGUUAGAAUGCCUCUUUUAGGAUCAAACUCUGAGGUUAAGGAGACAGCAGUUGGGUUCAUUCAAGCAUGGAAAAUUCCAGGGGUUGCUCCAUUUGCCCUUUGCCUUUUCUUCACCAAAUUGGUGGCUUACACGUUUCUCUACUGGCUUCCUUUCUACAUUAGCCAUACAGCUAUCGAUGGGAAGUAUUUAUCAAGUGGCGCAGCUGGGAACUUGUCAACAUUGUUUGAUGUUGGAGGGGUGAUUGGAGGAAUCUUAGCUGGGCACAUGUCUGAUCGUCUAGAUGCCAGAGCCAUUACAGCAGCAAGUUUCAUGUACUGUGCAAUCCCUGCNNNAUACCGAAGUUAUGGACAUAUUUCUUUGGCUGUAAAUAUUGCCCUUAUGUUGAUCACCGGCAUGUUUGUGAAUGGGCCUUAUGCUCUUAUAACAACAGCAGUCUCAGCUGACUUGGGAACCCACAGUUCUUUGAAAGAGAACUCAAGGGCAUUGGCAACAGUUACAGCAAUUAUAGAUGGCACAGGCUCAGUUGGGGCUGCAAUUGGACCUUUACUAACAGGUUAUAUUUCUGCUUUUAGCUGGAGUGCAGUUUUCACAAUGCUAAUGGGGGCAGCUUUAAUUGCUGGUCUGCUUCUGACUAGACUUGUUAUCGCUGAACUUGUCGCGAAAAUGGCCGAAUCGAGGUCUCAAACAUCUGCAGCAUCAACAACACCAGCAGUUCAGAUUGAUGUGUGAUUUGUAGAAUUUCUCUUAGUGUUUAUGGGCUCUAAUGAUUAAAAUGAACGAUUCCUCUGAUGGUAGUUGAAGAUGGUAGAGGAUGUUUUAAAAUCUUCUCCAUGCUUUAUAUUCUUAUUUCACAUAAAGGAAAGAUUGGAAAAGAAAAUGGGAGG